AAUACAAGAUGAUGGAGCAGAAAAGGUCCAGAUGAGUCUGGAGUUCUCAAAAGUAGAAAGCUGAUGCGAGAUUGGAAGGUAGAUACCGUGGUUCGACGAGUCGACGGGUGUUUUGUACCAACUUUUUUCAUUUCCCAGCUAGGUCCCCAAGCAGAAGUAUAGGACUAGCUCCCCAGCAGAUUCAAGGUCUGUAAACUUCUCCAGCCAAGUCAGGAUGGUUGUCCCCGGCCGGUUUACAACGGUGUUUCCUCAGCAGCCAGGUCUGAAGGUUGCUAAUCCCCGAGU
This 285-nucleotide long non-coding RNA is filed under the name Lathyrus oleraceus (garden pea). Its description in RNAcentral is "Pisum sativum (pea) long non-coding RNA (PSAT_LNC009637)". The record is from RNAcentral. Lineage: Eukaryota; Viridiplantae; Streptophyta; Magnoliopsida; Fabales; Fabaceae.